GACGAACGCUGGCGGCGUGCUUAACACAUGCAAGUCGAACGGAAAGGCCUGCUUUCCCUUGUGGAUUGCGGGUACUCGAGUGGCGAGCGGGUGAGUAACACGUGAGUGAUCUGCCCCCAACUUGGGUAUAAGCCUGGGAAACUGGGUCUAAUUCCCGAUAGGACUGCAGGGUGGUGCCUGUGGUGGAAAGCGAUUUUCUAGUGGUUGGGGAUGAGCCCGCGGCCUAUCAGCUUGUUGGUGGGGUAAUGGCCUACCAAGGCGGCGACGGGUAGCCGGCCUGAGAGGGUGGACGGCCACAUUGGGACUGAGAUACGGCCCAGACUCCUACGGGAGGCAGCAGUGGGGAAUAUUGCACAAUGGGCGGAAGCCUGAUGCAGCGACGCCGCGUGGGGGAUGACGGCCUUCGGGUUGUAAACUCCUUUCGACCGCGAGGAAGCCACCUGGUUGGAAGGGUGGUGACGGUAGUGGUAGAAGAAGCACCGGCUAACUACGUG
RNAcentral lists this ribosomal RNA (494 nucleotides) under uncultured bacterium. RNAcentral's name for it is "partial 16S ribosomal RNA". It matches the Rfam family "Bacterial small subunit ribosomal RNA", at positions 28 to 507 of the family's 1533-position model. The record is from RNAcentral.